AGACAAUUUCAAACACCUCUGAGAUUGUGGGCAUAGUGAAACAAAGGAGUCUGAUUGGGGAGAUCCCAGCCCCUUGAGGAGCCUGAGGUGUGAAUAAACAUGUGAAUCCUUAUUCCUGAUGCCCCUAUCUCAAGAGGAAGGCUCAAUGGCUUGUUCUAGGGGAGCCAAAGUCUUUGUGUAUGUUGUUCAGGCUGGACCAGCAAGGUAGUUUGUUUGGAGGGAGGAGGGAGCUGUUUAAGAAGACUACAUAUGUAAGUUUUGAGAACACUGAUCUUUUAUUUGAAAAAUAGGGUCAACUUUUACUCACCUGCCAUGUUCUGAGUUUAAGGUUUGAUAUCCUUGGCCAUCAACUGUUGCAGGGAAACCACCCUAAAUAAUGAAGAAAAGAAGUCGUCUCAGUGUAAAAAAAAAAAGUGGGUGUCUGAUGCCAUCAAGUGUUGCAGGAGAAACUUCAGUCUUGGCUGUUCCUUCUUGGAGGGACCACUCAGUAGAGCCUCUAAGGGACCCAAAUCCUUCAGACCUUUUGGAGAACCUGGACGACAGUGUGUUUUCGAAGCGGCAUGCAAAACUGGAGCUGGAUGAG
This 583-nucleotide small RNA is filed under the name Pongo abelii (Sumatran orangutan). RNAcentral describes it as "retained intron". The record is from RNAcentral. Lineage: Eukaryota; Metazoa; Chordata; Mammalia; Primates; Hominidae.